This is a long non-coding RNA of Scatophagus argus, 268 nucleotides long. RefSeq lists it as uncharacterized. The transcript has 3 exons. The record is from RefSeq and is a predicted model, not a curated record. Lineage: Eukaryota; Metazoa; Chordata; Actinopteri; Scatophagidae.
GAGGCCCCUAAAACGGGUGGAGGACCUGCACCACCACCUCUAACAGAGGCAGAGGAGAUGGCCCUUAGCCAAACUACUGGAAGGCCAGUGGCUGAGGGAAUCCCAGGGGGCAGCUCAUCUGAGCCAGUCACCCCCCAGGACACAAGUGUCUUCAUAACAUACUCUGAGGGACGUCUCCACCUGUUGGAGCCUCAUGUAGCCCAACUCCAGCCUGUUGAUAAUGAAGAUGAAGACACUGUGUCUGCUGUCACAGAAAGGCCUACAGAGG